RNAcentral lists this unclassified non-coding RNA (223 nucleotides) under Hevea brasiliensis (rubber tree). Lineage: Eukaryota; Viridiplantae; Streptophyta; Magnoliopsida; Malpighiales; Euphorbiaceae. The record is from RNAcentral.
GAUGUCUAUUUGCUGGGCAAAAAUAAGCAUUGUAGCAGUAAAGAACAAAUUUUGGCAGCCAUAUGGAGGAUGAUAAUAAAACCACCUACAAACACAAGGAUUAUUACAAGGUUCUUGAAGUUGAAUAUGAUGCAUCAGAUGAGAAGAUCAGAUUAAACUAUAGGAAACUUGCACUGUCAUAUCAUUCACGUUGAUUGAAAUGCGCAGAAGUGGCAUCCUGACA